This is a long non-coding RNA of Scylla paramamosain (green mud crab), 1766 nucleotides long. RefSeq lists it as uncharacterized. The record is from RefSeq and is a predicted model, not a curated record. The transcript is spliced from 2 exons. Lineage: Eukaryota; Metazoa; Arthropoda; Malacostraca; Decapoda; Portunidae.
ACUACUGCUGCUACUGCUACUACUACUACUACUACUACUACUACUACUACUACUACUACUACUACUACUGUAAUAGGCACUACUUUGCAUGAAGAAAAGAAUAGAUAUAAGAGUAGAAUUAGAAGGAAAUUAGAGACGCGUUAGAGAAUCUAACGCUAGUAUUAGAAGAAUUGUGCAAGAGGUGAACAGGACGUUGAAUUGAUAACAGCCAAGCUUAACUAUAAACAGCCGGUUUGUUUUAUGCCCAUUCAGCUUGUUAAAGGCUUACCUCCCAUUGGGUGGAGAUUAAAACGUCAUUCAUUUUGCUUGAUAUUAUUGGCUAUGGAAAUCUAUGACGUAUGCCUCGACACCUCUCGGACAAUCCUCAAGUCACUUUUAGAGUAGCAGCCAGUCACCAAGAUAGUACAGACGCACAACCCGUGUCGCUCUGACUUGAGUUACUCAAAGACUUAGACUCUGAUCAAGACGCAAGAGUCUUAAUAACUUUGCUUAUAACCUUUGUCGUGUGAUUGAGUAGUAAAGAAGAGCACUGUUGUUGAGCUGUAAGACAAUUUAUAUUUUCUAAAUAAACUGCAACACGCCAGACUAACUUUGAUAACCCACUUGCACAAGGAUGUUGUGAGUGAUGAUUAUCGAGAAAGAAAAUCGUCGUUUCCGAUACCAAGCUACGCCCACCGACACAUAGUCGCCACAGAGGCUAGAGACAGUGUGCACACAUACAUGACAACACAGUGGUGGCAACACAGUGGUGUUCAGCUUAUUGGGAUUCUGAAGCCUAAACAACCUCCGAAGAGUAAGAAGAGUUUACAAACAUUAAAAACAAACAGCAGCAACGGAAACAACAGCAAUAACGCUUCCCCAGCCAACACAGUGAGUCAAGGUCAACCCCACAAGUGUGCACAAGUCCCGCACCGCGCAGCACCGCGCCACACCUCAUCACACUCCCGAGCCACUACUCACACGAUCAAACUCAAGAGUAACUCUCAAUUAAUACCACCAAACAACGAGACCAAUAUCUAAAUACUAAGAAGAGACUUAGAAGAGGAAACCGCAGCCAGAGACGAGAGCAGGAUCAGCGCCGCCCCAGCAGCCGCCGCACACAGCCAUCAGCCACAGCACGCCGCCACCAGCAGCCGCUGCACACAGCCAUCAGCCACAGCACGCCGCCACUAGCAGCCGCGGCUCAAGAGGACAUCGCUACUCACUUGUCUAUACUUUGGUAACAGUAUUCAACCUGUCAAUCAUUAAUGUAAUUAUAUUCAUGUAAUACUUUAUCUAAUACCCAGUGGACCAACAGUUUGUGUAUGCCUGAGGAAUGACUGAGCACGAAGAAACAUUGAGUAUAACUGCCUUAUUGUAGAGCGUCUCCCAACAUUAUCACACACACUACCCAUCAUCAUAGGACAAGUUGCGUUGAAAUCGCCCAUGACGACAGUGGUGCCGGCAUCCACAGUGUGCUGCGUCAGUACUCCGCACUGAGCAUCAUGACAAUAAGGGGAGGCAUCUGGAGGUAUAUAUACGCCUCCUAACUUCAGUUCUGGAAUGCAUCACAAAACCACCGUGGCAUAUCUGGUCCUCAGCAUCCACGUCAACUUGCUUCACACUGUGCAUCAGUGCAUCCUGGCCAAGCAUCACCACUCCUCUAUUGCGUCCACUUCUUGACACAUUUCGGCACACACUAAAUCCCGGUACUUGUACGUUGUAAUAUUUUGUGGCUUCAAGAAUCCAGACGAUGUCAAAGUCCAGAAUAAACUUCAGUAUACUUG